This is a non-coding RNA of Devosia sp. 66-22, 366 nucleotides long. Lineage: Bacteria; Pseudomonadati; Pseudomonadota; Alphaproteobacteria; Hyphomicrobiales; Devosiaceae. The record is from Rfam.
CCAGUCGGCCGGAUGGCCGCGCGCAAGCGAGGAAAGUCCGGGCUCCAUCGAAAUACGGUGACGGCUAACAGCCGCCGGGGGCGACCCCAGGGAAAGUGCAACAGAGAGCAGACCGCCCGUCUUUGACGGGUAAGGGUGAAAGGGUGCGGUAAGAGCGCACCGCGGCUCCGGCAACGGCGCCGGCAUUGCAAACCCCACCGGGAGCAAGACCAAAUAGGGGUGACGUGGCGCAAGCCAGGCCGGUUUUCGAGGCCAGUCGCCCGGGUUGGUUGCUCAAGGUCCGUGGCAACACGGCUCUCAGAGGAAUGGCCAUCACGUCGGCGCAAGCCGGCCCUACAGAACCCGGCUUACAGGCCGACUGGCGCC